RNAcentral lists this ribosomal RNA (412 nucleotides) under uncultured bacterium. Its description in RNAcentral is "partial 16S ribosomal RNA". It matches the Rfam family "Bacterial small subunit ribosomal RNA", at positions 355 to 762 of the family's 1533-position model. The record is from RNAcentral.
UGGGGAAUUUUGGACAAUGGGCGAAAGCCUGAUCCAGCAAUGCCGCGUGUGUGAAGAAGGCCUUCGGGUUGUAAAGCACUUUUGUCCGGAAAGAAAUCCUUGGCUCUAAUACAGUCGGGGGAUACGGUACCGGAAAAUAAGCNCGCUAACUACGUGCCAGCAGCCGCGGUAAUACGUAGGGUGCAAGCGUUAAUCGGAAUUACUGGGCGUAAAGCGUGCGCAGGCGGUUUGCUAAGACCGAUGUGAAAUCCCCGGGCUCAACCUGGGAACUGCAUUGGUGACUGGCAGGCUAGAGUAUGGCAGAGGGGGGUAGAAUUCCACGUGUAGCAGUGAAAUGCGUAGAGAUGUGGAGGAAUACCGAUGGCGAAGGCAGCCCCCUGGGCCAAUACUGACGCUCAUGCACGAAAAGCGU